Molecule: ribosomal RNA, 254 nt
Filed under: uncultured bacterium
Lineage: Bacteria
Description: partial 16S ribosomal RNA
Rfam family: Bacterial small subunit ribosomal RNA
Source: RNAcentral
UACGGGGGGAGCAAGCGUUGUUCGGAUUUACUGGGCGUAAAGGGCGGGUAGGCGGCCACCUCAAGUCAGUUGUGAAAUCUCUGGGCUUAACCCAGAAAGGUCAACUGAUACUGCGGGGCUAGAGUGCAGAAGGGGCAACUGGAAUUCUCGGUGUAGCGGUGAAAUGCGUAGAUAUCGAGAGGAACACCUGCGGCGAAGGCGGGUUGCUGGGCUGACACUGACGCUGAACUGCGAAAGCUAGGGGAGCGAACGGG